This 465-nucleotide ribosomal RNA is filed under the name Vreelandella stevensii. RNAcentral's name for it is "partial 16S ribosomal RNA". It matches the Rfam family "Bacterial small subunit ribosomal RNA", at positions 338 to 795 of the family's 1533-position model. Lineage: Bacteria; Pseudomonadati; Pseudomonadota; Gammaproteobacteria; Oceanospirillales; Halomonadaceae. The record is from RNAcentral.
CCUACGGGUGGCAGCAGUGGGGAAUAUUGGACAAUGGGCGAAAGCCUGAUCCAGCCAUGCCGCGUGUGUGAAGAAGGCCUUCGGGUUGUAAAGCACUUUCAGUGGGGAAGAAAGCCUUGGGGCUAAUACCCUCGAGGAAGGACAUCACCCACAGAAGAAGCACCGGCUAACUCCGUGCCAGCAGCCGCGGUAAUACGGAGGGUGCGAGCGUUAAUCGGAAUUACUGGGCGUAAAGCGCGCGUAGGCGGUCUGAUAAGCCGGUUGUGAAAGCCCCGGGCUCAACCUGGGAACGGCAUCCGGAACUGUCAGGCUAGAAUGCAGGAGAGGAAGGUAGAAUUCCCGGUGUAGCGGUGAAAUGCGUAGAGAUCGGGAGGAAUACCAGUGGCGAAGGCGGCCUUCUGGACUGACACUGACGCUGAGGUGCGAAAGCGUGGGUAGCAAACAGGAUUAGAUACCCUGGUAGUC